RNAcentral lists this ribosomal RNA (1239 nucleotides) under Triticum aestivum (bread wheat). Its description in RNAcentral is "partial small subunit ribosomal RNA". Lineage: Eukaryota; Viridiplantae; Streptophyta; Magnoliopsida; Poales; Poaceae. The record is from RNAcentral.
AUGGAGAAGGCGGCGAGGCGCCCAAGCAAGAAGGCUCGCAGGACGCCUGCCGACUCCGACGGCCUGACGGCGCUCGCCCUCCGCCUCUCCAAAAAAUUCUCAGGCCGCGAGGAGUACGAGGGCCAGAACAUCAUGUUCUCGCCGCUGUCCAUCUACACCGCCUUGGGCCUCCUGGCGGCCGGCGCCCAGGGCGACACUCUGGACGAGAUCCUGGCCGUGCUCGGUGCGACGUCGCGCGACGAGGUCGCGGCGGUCAUGCGACUAGUGUCCAAGCACGCCCUCGCCGCCGACGAUCCCUCCGGCCCGCUGGUCGUUACGUCCGCGUGCAGCGUGUGGUGCCACAAAGAUCUGCCGCUGAAGCCGGCCUACCGGAAGGCCGCCGUCAAGUCCUACAAGGCGGACGCACGCGCCGUCGACUUUGUGAGAAAGCCGGAGGAUGCGAGGAAGGAGAUCAACCGGUGGGUCGCCAAGGCCACGAAGAAGCUCAUCACCUCCGUCCUACCACGGGGCUCAGUGCACGGCCACACCAGGCUCGUGCUUACCAAUGCCAUCUACAUCAAGGGCAAGUGGGAGAACGCCUUCAGCAAGAGCCGCACCAAAGACGACACGUUCCACCGCCUCGACGGCAGCACCGUCCGCGUGCCCUUCAUGGACGGAAACGGACGCGACAAGUACCUGGUGUCCACAUUUGACGGGUUCAAGGUGCUUAAGCUCCCCUACAAGAAGGCGGCCAACAACGGCGCCACUUAUUCGAUGUGUGUCUUCCUCCCGACCGCGCGAGACGGGCUGCGUAGCCUUGCCGACGAGAUGGCGACCGGCGGGCCAAGCUUCCUGUUCGACCACCUGCCGACUCAGUCUAGGAGCGUGACCAAGCUCCGGCUACCCAAGUUCAAGCUGUCCUUCUUCUGUAGCAUGAAGAAAGUUCUCGAGAGCUUGGGGCUCCGGGCGGCGUUCAGCGGGGAGGCCGAUCUGUCUGACAUGGUGGACAAGGACUCGGCCGGAAACGACGUGCCGCUGCGGGUAGAGGAUGUGUUUCACAGGGCGGUUGUGGAAGUGAACGAGGAAGGCACCGAGGCGGCUGCAUUCACCGCCGUCAUGACCGUAUUAUAUUGUUGGACCCCUCCGUCCGUGCCUGUUGAUUUUGUAGCAGACCAUCCAUUUGCCUUCUACAUAGUUGAGGAGGUGUCCCGUGCGGUGGUCUUUGCCGGUCACGUCCUCGACCCUUCUGAAACCGAGUGA